UGGUAGGAAAGGUAAAUGGGGGUGGGGGUGGGGGUGGGGGUGUGUAACAGGGCAUUUGUUACGCACACGGACUUAGGCAGCCAUUCAAUGCCCCACCGAACGCUCAUUUCCUCCUCUUCUUCUUCCUCCUUCUCCUCUUCUGCUGUUGCGUCACUCUUCUUCAGCCCUUCGCCACCGCGCCCUUCGCGUCUUGCGCCUGUACCAACCUCGGCUUGCUCCCACUGCCCUCAGGUGGAGAAAGAAACCGGCAUGGAAGCGCUGAGGGCCACUUCGAGGCCGGAGCUUCUGUACACGGGGCAGCAGAAGCAGAACCAGGGGGUUUUGAGCGAGGAGGCGGGUUGGUUUCUUGAAAGAGGGAACCUGGUAGGUGAGGGGUUCUCUGUCGACGACCUCCUUAACCUGGGUGAGUUCGCGGAGAACGAGAUGGAAGCGGAGGAGGACGAAGCUGGGAGAGAAUUUGGAACCGACGCGGAAGCAACGCAUAAUGAGACAGAGCGCUCUUCUUCUCCUUCCUCCUCUUCGGGUCUAACCUUCGAGCUUCCACCACCGCCUCCUCUUUCGGAUAUCUGUCUGCCGGCGCAUGAUGCUGAAGAACUGGAGUGGGUUUCCCUCAUCAUCGACGACUCCAUCCCGGAGUUCCCACCGCCGUGUUCCGGCGUUGCAUCCCUUUCACCACCGCCGAGCGACGCCCAAAGUGAGAAUCGCCAAGCCCGCGGCGCCGUGCCGCAAGGUCAAGGCCCCUCUUCGGGUCCUACCGUUUGCGCUCUCUCCACCGAAGCGGCGGUUCCGGUCAAGGCCAAGCGGAGCAAGCGCUUCCGCAGUGCCGCUGCCGCCUGGGCCAUGUCCGGCCCGCUCCCCUUCUCGGACUCCUCCUCGUCCUCCACCACUACCUCCGCCUCCUCAUGCUCCUCCACGUCUUCCUCCUCCCCUUUCCUCAUACACGACCCCUCCGCCAUCGCCGUCGACCAAAGCUUCCUCCUUUUCGGCCACCCGACGCCGCCCGAGAAGCAGAACCCGAAGAAACGCGGCCGCAAGCCCAAAGCGCCGCCACCAUCUUCCUCCACCGCCUCCGGCGAACGGCGGUGCAGCCACUGCGGUGUCCAGAAGACGCCGCAGUGGCGGGCCGGCCCGCUCGGCGCCAAGACCCUCUGCAACGCCUGCGGCGUCCGCUUCAAAUCCGGCCGUCUCCUCCCAGAGUACCGCCCGGCCUGCAGCCCCACCUUUGUCAGCCACAUGCACUCUAACAGCCACCGCAAGGUGCUGGAGAUGCGCCGGAAGAAGGAGGCGGAGCUCGUCGCGCCCCCCGUCGCCUCCUUCUGAGCCCGGUGGCGCCCGUCCGGCCCAGCAUCCGGUUCGAGUGUACAUGUCGGACUCCCUUUUAGUCGCAGUCUCUCUGUAACAGAUUGGAUUUUGUUCUUCUCUUUUAGGUUAUAGGGAGAGGCACCUUUCCAUUAUUCACCUCUGUGCUUUCACCGAGACAAAGUGAAUGGGGGGAGUAGAGACAACACAAAAUUUUAGUGGGUUAUCAUGAACAUGAAGAUGAUUGACCAGACUACUCUUUUCUGCCCAAAGAGGAAAGUGUUGUGUGCCACCAUAUUGAUCAUAGAGAGGUAGAUGGAUCGGCAUCAACCUUAGUGUGCUGGUUUUAGUUUCUGAGCAUCUGAUAUUUCUCGUUUCUUGCUCCUCUUCUGUCCCCGUUUCUUCUUUUGUUUGGGUUCUCAGGACUGUUUCUUUGUUGUUCUUGUGCACAUUAAAUGUUCUACGUGGGUUGAUCUCUUUUCUCAGCUGAUGUCUGGAUGUUUUCGUUUGGCAUCACCCACCUCCAUCCAAUCCCAACCUAACGCAACGCCGUGGGGGCAACGUCGACGUCAAACGAUGUGUUCAAAGAUCAAAACCAGACGGUCUUCUUCUUUUACCCGUUCUUCCUCCGAGGGGUAAACUAACGAACUGCUCAACGCGCACGCAUAGCUGUGAUCACCGGAAAGAGUGGAUGACGCUCUGCUUGCAGUCGGCGCAGGACCGAGCGAGUCAUGUGCCAUGGCGUGCAAGGCAAGCGACGAGUGGGGUCUCGCCAUCCUCCACCUGAAAAGCUUCAUUUGGACAUGGAAGCUUCCCGCACACCAUGUGAUGAUGAUGCAUCUCAAACAACACAGACUGAUUCAAGGAUUUUUUCA
This is an RNA transcript of Musa acuminata AAA Group (dessert banana), 2174 nucleotides long. It is a transcript of the gene named GATA transcription factor 6-like, with no coding region annotated. The transcript is spliced from 4 exons. The record is from RefSeq and is a predicted model, not a curated record. NCBI's taxonomy places the organism in Eukaryota, Viridiplantae, Streptophyta, Magnoliopsida, Zingiberales, Musaceae.